This is a small nucleolar RNA of Chlorocebus sabaeus (green monkey), 93 nucleotides long. The record is from Ensembl. NCBI's taxonomy places the organism in Eukaryota, Metazoa, Chordata, Mammalia, Primates, Cercopithecidae.
UGGAGAAGUCAGUGAUGGUUUUAUUCAUGUUGUCUGAACCUGUCUGAAACAUCGGUGAUGCGAUCUCUGGGUGAUUCUGAGACUUCUCUAAGU